This 814-nucleotide ribosomal RNA is filed under the name Cichlidogyrus cubitus. Its description in RNAcentral is "partial large subunit ribosomal RNA". Lineage: Eukaryota; Metazoa; Platyhelminthes; Monogenea; Dactylogyridea; Ancyrocephalidae. The record is from RNAcentral.
CAUAUCAGUAAGCGGAGGAAGAGAAACUAACCAGGAUUCUCCUAGUAACGGCGAGUGAACGGAGAUUAGCCCAUCACCGAAGCCUGCGUGUAUUUGCAUGCUAGGCAAUGUGGUGUUAAAGCUUGUACCUGGGAUCGUGUUCCUACCCGAAGUCUAAAUCCGAUUGUGGCUUUGGAUUCAUUCCAUAGCGGGUGAAAGUCCCGUGCGGGUAGGACUAUUGCAAAUCACACGGUCCUCAGAUGUGCAUGCUUUCGAGUCGGAUUGCUUGAGAAUGCAGUCCAAAGUGGGUGGUAAACUCCAUCCAAGGCUAAAUACUGGCACGAGUCCGAUAGUAGACAAGUACCGUGAGGGAAAGUUGAAAAGUACUCUGAAGAGAGAGUAAAUAGUACGUGAAGCCGAUUGCAGGGAAGCUGGUGGAGUCAAGCUUCGUGCUUGAGGGAUUGAUGCUGGGAGCAGGUGUGUGAUUUGGAUGUGAGGAUGGACAACUUGGAAUAAGUUGGGCGUGUUCUGAAUGCGCUUCAAGUCAUUCUGGGUAGAGUGUUAUGAGCCUUCCUCACUUUCCUACUCUCAGUGUUGUAUUCCUCGCUGCACAGGCCACAGUCAAUGGGUGCAUGCGGUGUGAAGGCCUAACUGUGCUGCGGAGGGUGCAAGCUCUCCGUGUGCAGGAUGGCAGGUGCUGUCUUCGGGCCUMGUGUUCGUUGAUAGUUGUUGUGGUUUCGACCGGCUGGUCUUCAUACUGUAUUGUGCCUAUUGCCUAUCAAUGGCGUGGCUUCCUCGGAAGUUGCGUYGUGAAGAACUGUGCUCGAGWRUUACC